GCGCCAAAACCAUUUUGGUAAGGUCGUACCUUUCUUUUUUCUAUUGACAGUCUUCUUCUUCCUUUUCCAUCUCUCCCCUAUGCUUCAAAACCAGUUUGUAAGGAUCAGACCUCGCUUUCUUCCAUUGCUAAUACCUUUGCACAAAUGGCUGAUUUGAUGUAUCAAAUUCGUGGCUCCCAAGAUGACCUCAUCCUGUGCAUAUAACCUGAAAUUUGAGUUUUGAUUUCUCCAGUUCCAUUUCAAAACCCUAAUGAUUUCAUGGUCUUAAUUACAGGGUUCUAUAGGUUCAUAUGUUGUGGGUCUAACUCACUUUGAUGAGAUUUUGCAAGAGGCAGAUGGUAUUAUCCUUUCCUGUGGAAAUCUUUGCUUUGAUCUUCCACCAGAGAAGUUUCAACAGCAACUGGUUGUGUUUGUGUGCUUUAAGUUUCAACAACAAUUGUUUCUUCAUCAGGUAUAAACACAUCUUGAGGAUAAGCUCUCUUUUGUAUCUUUACAUACGCUUGGUUGGUCUCUUAUCAAUCAAAAAUCUUUCCCAUGCAUGCAUGGUAGACUAUGAUAACCUGCUUAAUAUGCUAAGUUGUUUCAGGAAAUGGAGGUGUGAUGAUGUACUAUAAAAUUGUCAUUUUGAUCUUAGUUUUGGCUAUUUCUUAUAAAAGGUGGUUUUAGCUA
Molecule: long non-coding RNA, 669 nt
Organism: Cynara cardunculus var. scolymus (artichoke)
Lineage: Eukaryota; Viridiplantae; Streptophyta; Magnoliopsida; Asterales; Asteraceae
Exons: 3
Source: RefSeq, a predicted model, not a curated record